GGAAGGUUAGUUUAAAAAACAUUAACUUGUCAAGUUAAAGAUACUCUAUCAGUACCGUCCU
Molecule: transfer RNA, 61 nt
Filed under: Aneurus sublobatus
Lineage: Eukaryota; Metazoa; Arthropoda; Insecta; Hemiptera; Aradidae
Description: tRNA-Asp
Rfam family: tRNA
About the family: Transfer RNA (tRNA) molecules are approximately 80 nucleotides in length. Their secondary structure includes four short double-helical elements and three loops (D, anti-codon, and T loops).
Source: RNAcentral